UUUUAGGAAUAUUUAUAUAAGGUCUGGCCUGCCCAAUGAGUGAUUGAAUGGCUGCGGUAUUUUGACCGUGCUAAGGUAGCAUAAUCAUUUGUCUUUUAAUUGAGGGCUUGUAUGAAAGGUUGGAUGAAGUAAUAACUUUCUUUAAUUUAAUUUAUGAAUUUAAUUUUUAGGUUAAAAAGCUAAAAUGUUUUUAUAGGACGAGAAGACCCUAUAGAUCUUUACAGUUUAUUAGGUAUAAUGAUUUGGUGAAUUAUUUAUUAUUAUUCAAUGAUUUUGUUUGAUUGGGGUGAUUGUGGAAUUCUUUUAACUUCCAUUAUUUUUUUUCAAUGAUUAUUGUUUUAUUUGAUCCAUUAGUAAUGAUUAGAAGAUUAAG
This 373-nucleotide ribosomal RNA is filed under the name Rhodnius prolixus. RNAcentral's name for it is "partial large subunit ribosomal RNA". Lineage: Eukaryota; Metazoa; Arthropoda; Insecta; Hemiptera; Reduviidae. The record is from RNAcentral.